AUGCUCGCUUUGGCAGCACAUAUACUAAAAUUGGAACCAUACAGAGAAGAUUAGGAUGGCCCCUGUGCAAGGAUGACAUGCAAGUUCGUGAGGUGUUCCAUAUAAAA
Small nuclear RNA from Manis javanica (Malayan pangolin), 107 nucleotides. Lineage: Eukaryota; Metazoa; Chordata; Mammalia; Pholidota; Manidae. The record is from RefSeq and is a predicted model, not a curated record.